AAAGAGCUCAGCCACUUCCCUAUUCUCAGUGUUGGUAGAGCACAAAGGAGAAUGCAGCAAUAAUCCCUGUGACCGCUGCUAACUUCGCAUAUGAAAAUCGGGGACUUUUCUGCCGAUAGUGUUCCAUAAACCCGGGGUUUUCCUGUUUAAAGUAUUCUACGAAACCCUUCUCCUAGAUGGAAAAAAAAGUAAAUUUUAUGAAUGAACGCAACACCGUGACACAAAUUUCCGUCAUCUGCAAAGAGCGGAACAGUGGGUAAUCUUAGUGGUGAGUGUUUGAAGUGGAAGCAAUUUCCUACCCAGCCGCCUUUCUCCUGGAUCCACGCAGCUUUGAGAGUACACGUGUGAUGAGCCAUACACUGAGCCAUUUCCUCAACCAGUUCUUCCUCUGGAAUGCCUCUCCUUCUCAACUGCCUCGCUAACUCUCCACAAAACGCGUACAAAGCCACAAGUCUGCCCCAGUUAUCCUCCCCAUCUGAGGAGAUCUCGCUCAUUAGAAUGGGAAACGCUCGCUUCACGUCCUCUAUGGAAGCGAAUCUAAGUUGUUUGAUGUAGAGUUCAAACUCGUGUUCCCUGACUCGCUGGAAGAGGGCGGCCGCCUUACGCAGAGUUUCAGCCGCGCUGCUGGUGGCAGGAACUGACUGAGAUCCAUCUAACGCAAACUUCAAAUAAUCCUUCACCAACCCGUAGACGAACUGCUUGGAGUGUGAAUCGUGGCCCAUAAUGAUCAGUGCUGGUCUUUCUCAGCUGCUUGUUGAGUCUGACACACUGACCUCUUCGUUUUUAUUAGCAGCAGCCUGUCUUGGGCAGAGCAGAUGCCAUAUCAAGCUGUGCUCCAUCUGGAUAGAACGUCUAUAAAAAUCAUUAAGAGUCAUUGUGGACAUGCUGAAUUUCCUUAGCCUUCUGAGGAAGUGAAGACAUUGGCGUGCUUUCUUGACCAUACCAUCAACAUGGAUUUGACAGGUUGCCCUAUGGUGGGACUACACAACAAAUGUACUAUAGUCAUGGCUAACAUCAGCUCUAGCCUCCCCCAGCCUGCCUCAAUCCCUUUGCCAACUGGCACAACAGUCCACAGCAGAUUCCAUUUCCUUAGCUGUACCUCAACUCUGGAACAUCUGGAUAAUAAGCUUACCUACAUCAGGUUUCUACUUAUUGACUUCUGCCCCACCUUCAGCACAAUAAUCCCAAACAAGGUAAACUCCAAAUUCCAAAACUGAGCUCUCUGCUCCACUCUCUGCAACUGGAUCCUCAAUUUCCUGACCCAAGACUGCAAUCAGUGAAGAUAGGCAAUAGCGCCUCCUCUACAAGAAUCCUCAACACUGGCACCUUGCAAGGAUGCAUAUUCAGCCCCCUACUGUACUCCAUGUACACUCAUGACUGUGUGGCCAAAUUGCAUCUGAACUCCAUCUACAAGUUCACUGACGUCACCUGUGUUGUAGGCCGGAUACCAAACAAUGACGAGACAGAAUACAGGAAAAGAAAUAGAAUGCUUGGUGAAAUGGUGCAAAGAUAACAAUCUCUCCCUCAAUGUCAGCAAAACUAAAGAGCUGAUCAUCAACUUCAGGAAUCAAGGAGAAAAACACACCUUUAUCUACAUCAACGGAGCUAAGGUGGAGACAGCCAAGAGUGUCAAGUUCUUAGGAGUGAUGAUCGCCAACAGUCUUGUCCAGGAACACACACGUUGAUGCGAGAGUCAAGAAGGCAUAACAAUGCCUCUUCUUCCUCAGGAGGCUAAGGAAAUUCAACAUGGCCAUAAGGCCCCCCCACCAGCUUUUACAGUUGCAACACAGAAAGCAUUCUGUUUGGGUGAAUCACAUAUUGGUAUGGCAACUGCUCUGCUCAGGACCAUAAGAAACUACAGAAAGUUGUGAAAACAGCCCAGACCGUAAAGCAAGCCAACCUUUCAUCCACUGACUCUAUCUAUAUUUCUCAUUGCUGCAGAAAGGCAACCAACAUCAUCAAAGACCCUCUCAUUCUGGUUAUAAUCUCUUCCACCAGGCAGAAGAUAAAAAAAGUUUAAACACGCAUACCAACAGGUUCAACAACAGCGUCUUCCUUGCUGUUAUUUGACUUCAGAAUGGACCUCUCAAAUGUGAAAUCUAAUGUUGAUCUUGCUUUUUGUACAACUUCUUUGUAGCCGUAACUUAGUAUUCCUCAGUCUGUACAAUCACCUUGUCACCUUUGUGUCUUUGAAUGUUAUGGUCUGCUGUACUGCACACAAAACAAAACUUUUCACUGUACUUAGAUACACAUGACAAUAAUAAAUCAAAUCAAAUUGAAUCAAAUCAAAUCACAUCCCUUUCU
This is a long non-coding RNA of Stegostoma tigrinum, 2304 nucleotides long. RefSeq lists it as uncharacterized. The record is from RefSeq and is a predicted model, not a curated record. NCBI's taxonomy places the organism in Eukaryota, Metazoa, Chordata, Chondrichthyes, Orectolobiformes, Stegostomatidae. The transcript has 3 exons.